CACAGGAGCUGUACAGUUGCUGUGGACCUGGCUUCCCCCAGCAAGGUCCUAGGCACACUUGUGAGGACUAAGUCUUGCUCUUCAGGUGGGGUGGGGCUUCCUGCUCAGUGUACAAGGUCGGGCAGCAUCCCUGGUCUCUGCUCAGGAGACAUCUACAGCCCACAGCCUUGGCCCGAGCAUCAGACACAUCUCCAGACCUGGCCCAGUACACCUGCAGAGAGAGCAUCCUGCGGGCAGCGACACCUGUGCAGAAGCGUUUUAUAAUCCCCAAAAGAGAGCUGCGACCUGGUAACCGGACGUGACUCAGCUGAA
Molecule: long non-coding RNA, 312 nt
Filed under: Chinchilla lanigera (long-tailed chinchilla)
Lineage: Eukaryota; Metazoa; Chordata; Mammalia; Rodentia; Chinchillidae
Description: lncRNA (ENSCLAG00000027987.1)
Source: RNAcentral